CUUAAAAACCCCAAACAAACAAACCACCAGUGAGUGAGGAAAAAUUGAUCUUGGCUGACUUUACAUACAUUAUUUCUAAAUUUCAGAUUUCCAAAAGCCCCAAACCUCUUGACUGGGAAACAAAUAAAUAAUUUGCCGGUUCUACUGAUGGUACAUGAACAGGGAUGAGCUUUGCUCCUGCAGGUCUCCCCUCCAGCUGUCUCAUGCUAUUAUUGUCUUUUCUGAGCUGACUGCUCCUUCUCUCCCAAACUAUCGAUUUCUCCUGAAGCAGCCAGCUCUUCAGGAGUUUUUUCCUGUCUCCAGGCAGGUGCACAGCAUUGCCAACCUAUAAGUCUGGCAGUCAACCUGGAAAACAGGGUACGGGGCUAGAGUUAGAGAUCUAGAACACCUCCAUCCCCAGGUUGCUGUUGUCUUUUGACAGGCUCUCUAUGAAGAGUGAGCAAUAGAAAUAUGUGGGAAUCAAGGGAAAACAUAUUUUAAAAAAUAUAAGUGCUUCACUGAAAGCAGAAGAACUGAGAGGCUUAAUUGAGAUACUUUUGGUUUUGCUUCUGAAGUAUCUGGUUAUUUUUCUUUUAGAAGAAAACACAAAAUGUAUUCAAAAUGGCAAACAUUUUCCAUGUAUGCUUUUAAAGCACAGCCCCUUUUCUGUCCUUUUUCUGUAAGCACAGUGAUUGUUCAUAAUAGCUUGCCCAUGUUCCUAAGGUUAAUAGAUAAAAUAGAUAAGAGAUAAUAGUGUUCCGUGUAGCAGUGCUUUAGGGAAUUCUGUGAAUAUUGAGGUAAUUGGAGAAGUCUGUAACAGGGAACGGGGGGUCACUGAAGAGAAGUCAAGGUAAGAUUAGAAAAGCUGAGCUGCAGAUCUCAGGAAUACUUGAUAAAGGUCAGAACUAGAGGCCACCAGAUCACUUUCUCUUGAAAUACAGAGUCAAAUAAAAAAAGGAGAGGUAGGACUAGAGCAGCACCCAUUAUUUCUGACAUCUAAUUAUUGUAUACAUAUUGUUAUUUUAAUAGGAUUAGCCAGCAGUAAUGGUAAAGCAGAAGUCCCUUCCCUUUAUAUACCUGAGAGAUUAGUCUGCCUACCAGCAGUGUAGUGGCAUGCUUAGAGAUGGGCAUAAACGAUGAUGGAUUGGUUAAGAAAUAACUUUGAAGGUUUCCUUAUCUCUUUGUACAAUUAGGUUCAACUUUGAACAAGCUGUUAAUGGCAGGUGGUGGUGAGCCAGCUGCAAGAACAAGUUUGAAUUAUGCUAGAAAUGGACGGCCAGUAUUUACAUGAAGAAUGUUUGGAAUUUGGAGGGUCAUUAUUUUUAAUCCAGGAUUACUAGGAGUGUAGAGAAGGAAAAUGAAACAAUGUGAUGUGUGUCUAUGAUGAAUUCCUGUCAGAGAAGGAGAAAGCAUGAAGAUAAUUAUUUUAAAAAGUAAUUAGAAGAUAUUGGAAACUGGAUGCAUAAGAUAGGAGCAAUAGAAUCAGCAGAGCAGCAAACGUGCUGGGACAUUGUGGAACAGCCCAGAAAGUGCCUGAGACAGAUGCAGAGCUCACAGAUUUUCACAAAACUGUGUUGAUUGCUACCCUGUUGGUAUCAUCUGACUUACGAAGAUUCCCAGCAGCUGACAGUCAAGCCUUCGGUGGUUUUCUCACAAUAGUUCUGCAUAA
Molecule: long non-coding RNA, 1648 nt
Organism: Vidua macroura (Pin-tailed whydah)
Lineage: Eukaryota; Metazoa; Chordata; Aves; Passeriformes; Viduidae
Exons: 3
Source: RefSeq, a predicted model, not a curated record